CACUAUCGUUAACUGAAUACAUAGGUUAACGAGGCGAACCGGGGGAACUGAAACAUCUAAGUACCCCGAGGAAAAGAAAUCAACCGAGAUUCCCCCAGUAGCGGCGAGCGAACGGGGAGCAGCCCAGAGUCUGAAUCAGCUUGUGUGUUAGUGGAACGGUCUGGAAAGUCCGACGGUACAGGGUGAUAGUCCCGUACACCAAAAUGCACAGGCUGUGAACUCGAAGAGUAGGGCGGGACACGUGGUAUCCUGUCUGAAUAUGGGGGGACCAUCCUCCAAGGCUAAAUACUCCUGACUGACCGAUAGUGAACCAGUACCGUGAGGGAAAGGCGAAAAGAACCCCGGCGAGGGGAGUGAAAAAGAACCUGAAACCGUGUACGUACAAGCAGUGGGAGCACCUUCGGGUGUGACUGCGUACCUUUUGUAUAAUGGGUCAGCGACUUAUAUUCUGUAGCAAGGUUAACCGUAUAGGGGAGCCGCAGGGAAACCGAGUCUUAACUGGGCGUUAAGUUGCAGGGUAUAGACCCGAAACCCGGUGAUCUAGCCAUGGGCAGGUUGAAGGUUGGGUAACACUAACUGGAGGACCGAACCGACUAAUGUUGAAAAAUUAGCGGAUGACUUGUGGCUGGGGGUGAAAGGCCAAUCAAACCGGGAGAUAGCUGGUUCUCCCCGAAAGCUAUUUAGGUAGCGCCUCGUGAAUUCAUCUUCGGGGGUAGAGCACUGUUUCGGCUAGGGGGUCAUCCCGACUUACCAACCCGAUGCAAACUACGAAUACCGAAGAAUGUUAUCACGGGAGACACACGGCGGGUGCUAACGUCCGUCGUGAAGAGGGAAACAACCCAGACCGCCAGCUAAGGUCCCAAAGUCAUGGUUAAGUGGGAAACGAUGUGGGAAGGCACAGACAGCCAGGAUGUUGGCUUAGAAGCAGCCAUCAUUUAAAGAAAGCGUAAUAGCUCACUGGUCGAGUCGGCCUGCGCGGAAGAUGUAACGGGGCUAAACCAUGCACCGAAGCUGCGGCAGCGACACUAUGUGUUGUUGGGUAGGGGAGCGUUCUGUAAGCCUGCGAAGGUGACCUGUGAGGGUUGCUGGAGGUAUCAGAAGUGCGAAUGCUGACAUAAGUAACGAUAAAGCGGGUGAAAAGCCCGCUCGCCGGAAGACCAAGGGUUCCUGUCCAACGUUAAUCGGGGCAGGGUGAGUCGACCCCUAAGGCGAGGCCGAAAGGCGUAGUCGAUGGGAAACAGGUUAAUAUUCCUGUACUUGGUGUUACUGCGAAGGGGGGACGGAGAAGGCUAUGUUAGCCGGGCGACGGUUGUCCCGGUUUAAGCAUGUAGGCUGGUUGUCCAGGCAAAUCCGGAUAAUCAAGGCUGAGGUGUGAUGACGAGGCACUACGGUGCUGAAGUAACAAAUGCCCUGCUUCCAGGAAAAGCCUCUAAGCAUCAGGUAACAUCAAAUCGUACCCCAAACCGACACAGGUGGUCAGGUAGAGAAUACCAAGGCGCUUGAGAGAACUCGGGUGAAGGAACUAGGCAAAAUGGUGCCGUAACUUCGGGAGAAGGCACGCUGGUGUGUAGGUGAAGUCCCUGCGGAUGGAGCUGAGACCAGUCGAAGAUACCAGCUGGCUGCAACUGUUUAUUAAAAACACAGCACUGUGCAAACACGAAAGUGGACGUAUACGGUGUGACGCCUGCCCGGUGCCGGAAGGUUAAUUGAUGGGGUUAUCCGUAAGGAGAAGCUCUUGAUCGAAGCCCCGGUAAACGGCGGCCGUAACUAUAACGGUCCUAAGGUAGCGAAAUUCCUUGUCGGGUAAGUUCCGACCUGCACGAAUGGCGUAAUGAUGGCCAGGCUGUCUCCACCCGAGACUCAGUGAAAUUGAACUCGCUGUGAAGAUGCAGUGUACCCGCGGCAAGACGGAAAGACCCCGUGAACCUUUACUAUAGCUUGACACUGAACAUUGAGCCUUGAUGUGUAGGAUAGGUGGGAGGCUUUGAAGCGUGGACGCCAGUCUGCGUGGAGCCAACCUUGAAAUACCACCCUUUAAUGUUUGAUGUUCUAACGUUGGCCCCUGACCGGGGUUGCGGACAGUGUCUGGUGGGUAGUUUGACUGGGGCGGUCUCCUCCCAAAGCGUAACGGAGGAGCACGAAGGUUAGCUAAUCCUGGUCGGACAUCAGGAGGUUAGUGCAAUGGCAUAAGCUAGCUUGACUGCGAGCGUGACGGCGCGAGCAGGUGCGAAAGCAGGUCAUAGUGAUCCGGUGGUUCUGAAUGGAAGGGCCAUCGCUCAACGGAUAAAAGGUACUCCGGGGAUAACAGGCUGAUACCGCCCAAGAGUUCAUAUCGACGGCGGUGUUUGGCACCUCGAUGUCGGCUCAUCACAUCCUGGGGCUGAAGUAGGUCCCAAGGGUAUGGCUGUUCGCCAUUUAAAGUGGUACGCGAGCUGGGUUUAGAACGUCGUGAGACAGUUCGGUCCCUAUCUGCCGUGGGCGCUGGAGAAUUGAGGGGGGCUGCUCCUAGUACGAGAGGACCGGAGUGGACGCAUCACUGGUGUUCGGGUUGUCAUGCCAAUGGCACUGCCCGGUAGCUAAAUGCGGAAGAGAUAAGUGCUGAAAGCAUCUAAGCACGAAACUUGCCCCGAGAUGAGUUCUCCCUGAGACUUUAAGUCUCCUGAAGGAACGUUGAAGACGACGACGUUGAUAGGCCGGGUGUGUAAGCGCAGCGAUGCGUUGAGCUAACCGGUACUAAUGAACCGUGAGGCUUAACCUU
This 2758-nucleotide ribosomal RNA is filed under the name Klebsiella pneumoniae. RNAcentral's name for it is "partial 23S ribosomal RNA". It matches the Rfam family "Bacterial large subunit ribosomal RNA". Lineage: Bacteria; Pseudomonadati; Pseudomonadota; Gammaproteobacteria; Enterobacterales; Enterobacteriaceae. The record is from RNAcentral.